ACAGAGGGGGCAAGCGUUGCUCGGAAUCACUGGGCGUAAAGGGCGCGUAGGCGGGAUGGCAAGUCGGUCGUGAAAUCCUUCGGCUCAACCGAAGAACGUCGGCCGAUACUGCCGUUCUUGAGGGAUGCAGAGGAGAUUGGAAUUCCCGGUGUAGCGGUGAAAUGUGUAGAGAUCGGGAGGAACACCGGUGGCGAAGGCGGGUCUCUGGGCAUCUCCUGACGCUGAGGCGCGAAAGCGUGGGGAGCAAACGGGA
RNAcentral lists this ribosomal RNA (253 nucleotides) under uncultured prokaryote. RNAcentral describes it as "partial 16S ribosomal RNA". It matches the Rfam family "Bacterial small subunit ribosomal RNA", at positions 525 to 777 of the family's 1533-position model. The record is from RNAcentral.